GACGAACGCUGGCGGCGUGCUUAACACAUGCAAGUCGAACGGAAAGGCCCUGCUUUUGUGGGGUGCUUGAGUGACGAACGGGUGAGUAACACGUGAGUAACCUGCCCUUGACUUUGGGAUAACUUCAGGAAACUGGGGCUACUACCGGAUAGGAGCUCCUGCUGCAUGGUGGGGGUUGGAUAUUUUUGGAGGAUGGGGAUGGACUCGGGGCUUAUCAGGUUGUUGGUGGGGUAGUGGCUUACCGCGGCUUUGACGGGUAGCCGGCCUGGGGGGGUGACCGGCCACAUUGGAACGGGGAUACGGCCCAGACUCCAACGGGGGGCAGCAGGGGGGAAUAUGGCACAAUGGGCGGAAGCCUGAUGCAGCAACGCCGCGUGCGGGAGGACGGCCUUCGGGUUUUAAACCGCUUUCGCCUGUGACGAAGCGUGUGUGACGGUAAUGGGUAAAGAAGCACCGGCUAACUACGUG
This 468-nucleotide ribosomal RNA is filed under the name uncultured bacterium. RNAcentral's name for it is "partial 16S ribosomal RNA". It matches the Rfam family "Bacterial small subunit ribosomal RNA", at positions 28 to 507 of the family's 1533-position model. The record is from RNAcentral.